UACGGAGGGGGCUAGCGUUGUUCGGAAUUACUGGGCGUAAAGCGCACGUAGGCGGCUUUGUAAGUUAGAGGUGAAAGCCCAGGGCUUAACCCUGGAAUUGCCUUUAAGACUGCAUCGCUAGAAUCGUGGAGAGGUGAGUGGAAUUCCGAGUGUAGAGGUGAAAUUCGUAGAUAUUCGGGAGAACACCAGUGGCGAAGGCGACUCACUGGACACGUAUUGACGCUGAGGUGCGAAAGCGUGGGGAGCAAACAGG
RNAcentral lists this ribosomal RNA (253 nucleotides) under uncultured bacterium. Its description in RNAcentral is "partial 16S ribosomal RNA". It matches the Rfam family "Bacterial small subunit ribosomal RNA", at positions 524 to 776 of the family's 1533-position model. The record is from RNAcentral.